RNAcentral lists this non-coding RNA (23 nucleotides) under Arabidopsis thaliana (thale cress). Lineage: Eukaryota; Viridiplantae; Streptophyta; Magnoliopsida; Brassicales; Brassicaceae. The record is from RNAcentral.
CGGGACAAGCGGAUUGAAUAGUG